CUUCCUAAACACACCACCCUGAAUGUGCCUGAUCUCAUUUGAUCACAGAAGCUAAGCAGGGUCAGGCCUGGUUAGUUCUUGGUUGGGAGA
RNAcentral lists this ribosomal RNA (90 nucleotides) under Castor canadensis (American beaver). Lineage: Eukaryota; Metazoa; Chordata; Mammalia; Rodentia; Castoridae. The record is from RNAcentral.